CGGAGCGGUCAUGACUCACACCUGAAACAACGGCGGUCUAAGAGCAGCAGCGGGAGAAAAAUCUCCCGCCUCUGGCUUAGAGUCGGCCAGCCCUCCGUUUCAGUGCUGUAUGAAGCUAAACUGCAAAGCAAAGACAUCCCUAAAUGGCCUCAUCUGGAUACUGGAUAUUCAACUGUGACGUGAUGCCAAUGGACUUGCAACACACCAUGCUAGAGAGCGCUGUGAGGACACCAUACAAGUCAUUCUGCUGAUAACAUAGCGAGGAUGCACAGAGCCUUGUCAGAACAACAACGCAGAACAGCUGUGGCGUGCUGCUAAAAUCUCCCUCCCUCCUCGGCUCACACCUGCUGAUCCAACAAGAGGCCAAAACUUAGGAUCAGGUCACGGCUUCCCCAGGGGCCCCCUCAUGUCCGAGACGGUCGACCUUUGGCACGUCGAAUGGAACGGAAGCGUCAGAGCAAAAAAAAAAAAAAUGUUGUCUGCUGUGUCCACAAGUACGUGCAGAGCUUCUCCUCGGCUCUCCACCCCUCCACUGCUGCAGACAAAUCAAUGGCCAAUAUCCAGCCGUGAAGGGAGGAGAAUUUGUGUCUUUU
This is a long non-coding RNA of Alosa alosa (allis shad), 593 nucleotides long. RefSeq lists it as uncharacterized. Lineage: Eukaryota; Metazoa; Chordata; Actinopteri; Clupeiformes; Clupeidae. The record is from RefSeq and is a predicted model, not a curated record. The transcript is spliced from 5 exons.